RNAcentral lists this ribosomal RNA (1180 nucleotides) under Bacillus safensis. RNAcentral describes it as "bacterial SSU rRNA". It matches the Rfam family "Bacterial small subunit ribosomal RNA", at positions 49 to 1212 of the family's 1533-position model. The record is from RNAcentral. Lineage: Bacteria; Bacillati; Bacillota; Bacilli; Caryophanales; Bacillaceae.
CUAUACAUGCAGUCGAGCGGACAGAAGGGAGCUUGCUCCCGGAUGUUAGCGGCGGACGGGUGAGUAACACGUGGGUAACCUGCCUGUAAGACUGGGAUAACUCCGGGAAACCGGAGCUAAUACCGGAUAGUUCCUUGAACCGCAUGGUUCAAGGAUGAAAGACGGUUUCGGCUGUCACUUACAGAUGGACCCGCGGCGCAUUAGCUAGUUGGUGGGGUAAUGGCUCACCAAGGCGACGAUGCGUAGCCGACCUGAGAGGGUGAUCGGCCACACUGGGACUGAGACACGGCCCAGACUCCUACGGGAGGCAGCAGUAGGGAAUCUUCCGCAAUGGACGAAAGUCUGACGGAGCAACGCCGCGUGAGUGAUGAAGGUUUUCGGAUCGUAAAGCUCUGUUGUUAGGGAAGAACAAGUGCGAGAGUAACUGCUCGCACCUUGACGGUACCUAACCAGAAAGCCACGGCUAACUACGUGCCAGCAGCCGCGGUAAUACGUAGGUGGCAAGCGUUGUCCGGAAUUAUUGGGCGUAAAGGGCUCGCAGGCGGUUUCUUAAGUCUGAUGUGAAAGCCCCCGGCUCAACCGGGGAGGGUCAUUGGAAACUGGGAAACUUGAGUGCAGAAGAGGAGAGUGGAAUUCCACGUGUAGCGGUGAAAUGCGUAGAGAUGUGGAGGAACACCAGUGGCGAAGGCGACUCUCUGGUCUGUAACUGACGCUGAGGAGCGAAAGCGUGGGGAGCGAACAGGAUUAGAUACCCUGGUAGUCCACGCCGUAAACGAUGAGUGCUAAGUGUUAGGGGGUUUCCGCCCCUUAGUGCUGCAGCUAACGCAUUAAGCACUCCGCCUGGGGAGUACGGUCGCAAGACUGAAACUCAAAGGAAUUGACGGGGGCCCGCACAAGCGGUGGAGCAUGUGGUUUAAUUCGAAGCAACGCGAAGAACCUUACCAGGUCUUGACAUCCUCUGACAACCCUAGAGAUAGGGCUUUCCCUUCGGGGACAGAGUGACAGGUGGUGCAUGGUUGUCGUCAGCUCGUGUCGUGAGAUGUUGGGUUAAGUCCCGCAACGAGCGCAACCCUUGAUCUUAGUUGCCAGCAUUCAGUUGGGCACUCUAAGGUGACUGCCGGUGACAANNCCGAAGAAAGGUGGGGAUGACGUCAAAUCAUCAUGNCCCCUUAUGACCUGG